This 216-nucleotide long non-coding RNA is filed under the name Elaeis guineensis (African oil palm). RNAcentral describes it as "long non-coding RNA (EGUI_LNC064968)". Lineage: Eukaryota; Viridiplantae; Streptophyta; Magnoliopsida; Arecales; Arecaceae. The record is from RNAcentral.
GGGGAGAGGCUCUUGCAACAACCCUUAUGCGCCCCCACAGCCAUGUUAGGAACAGGAGGAGAACCUCAUCCUAACAUGAGCAAGAUCGAAGGUUCGAUUAUUUAAAGAUCGGAUGGAAGGAGAGGCUCUUGCAACGGCCCUUACGUGCCCCCACAGCCCUGUUAGGAAUAGGAGAAAAAUCUCAUCCUAACAUGAGCUAAAACUGAUUGUGCCGGG